GACUGCAAAUGAUAACGUUACAGUGACAUAUUGCUACAGUCCUGCAUUCAGGCUCUGGACUCGGUGGCUAAGGCUGUGUUGGUCAACUUCGCCGCUGAGGGUGGUCCACGUGUGAUCCGUGCAUCGCUUUCCUGUGGAUGGAGAUUUGGGUCAUUUCCAGUUUGCAGCUAUUCCGAGUGAUGCUAUGAACAUUCUGGAACAUUUCUUUUGGCGGUCUUGGAGAGUUGUGGGGUCAGAGGUGUUUGUCCAGCUCUAGAGGACACUGCCCAACAGUUUUCCGGGGUGGCUGUGCCCUCGCUCCAGUGUGUCUGCGCCCACACUGCCUACGGCCUGUCACUGCCUGGUGCAGCACUUUCCUUAAGAAUGAAGUUACUGGCCAUUGUCAUCUUCUUUUUAAAUAUUUAUUUGGCUGCACCAGGUCUUUAGUUGCGGCAGUCAGGAUCUUCGUUGCAGCGUGUGGGAUCUAGUUCCCUGACCAGGGAUCGAACCCCUGGACCCCUGCAUUGGGAGCACAGUCUUAACCGCUGGACCACCAAGGAAGUCCCCACUGGCAUCUUCCUUUGUGAAGAUGUGUGUCUCUUCAGUGCUUCUGCCUCUUUUCUAUGCCUUUUUCUUAUUGAUCUGUAGGAGUUUGUUACCCAUUCUGGGUAAGGAUUCUGUUUUGAAUAUUUGUACUAUGAAUAUCUCCCCCCCAUCUCAACUUUUCAAUCUCUUAACAGUGCCUUUUGAUGAACAGAAGUUUUAAAUUUUAACAUAGUCCAAAUUAUCAACAAUGUUCUUUAUGCUUA
Molecule: non-coding RNA, 788 nt
Organism: Delphinapterus leucas (beluga whale)
Lineage: Eukaryota; Metazoa; Chordata; Mammalia; Artiodactyla; Monodontidae
Source: RefSeq, a predicted model, not a curated record